AUUGAACGCUGGCGGCAUGCCUUACACAUGCAAGUCGAACGGUAACAGGUUCCGGUUUUUUUAGCUGACGAGUGGCGAACGGGUGAGUAAUACAGUCGGAACGUGCCCGAUCGUGGGGGAUAACGGAGCGAAAGCUUUGCUAAUACCGCAUACGAUCUACGGAUGAAAGCAGGGGACCGCAAGGCCUUGCGCGGACGGAGCGGCCGAUGGCAGAUUAGGUAGUUGGUGGGAUAAAAGCUUACCAAGCCGACGAUCUGUAGCUGGUCUGAGAGGACGACCAGCCACACUGGGACUGAGACACGGCCCAGACUCCUACGGGAGGCAGCAGUGGGGAAUUUUGGACAAUGGGCGCAAGCCUGAUCCAGCCAUGCCGCGUGCAGGAUGAAGGCCUUCGGGUUGUAAACUGCUUUUGUACGGAACGAAAAGACUCUUUCUAAUAAAGAGGGUCCAUGACGGUACCGUAAGAAUAAGCACCGGCUAACUACGUG
RNAcentral lists this ribosomal RNA (488 nucleotides) under uncultured bacterium. RNAcentral's name for it is "bacterial SSU rRNA". It matches the Rfam family "Bacterial small subunit ribosomal RNA", at positions 30 to 507 of the family's 1533-position model. The record is from RNAcentral.